UCGAAUUCUUGACCGCAGAUGAUCCACCCGCCUUGGCCUCCCAAAGUGCUGGGAUUACAGAUGUGAGCCACCGCUCCUGGCCAUCAUUGUGGUUUCCUUGCAAUUUCUCUGAUAACUAAUAUUGUUAGGCACCAUUUCAUGUGCAUAUUGCUCAUUGUGUUUUAUAAUUAGAGAUUCAGUGGGUACAUGUGCAGGUUUCUUAUAUGUGUAUACUGUGUAAUGCUAUGGUUUGGGCUUCCAGUGAACCCAUCAUCCAAAAAGAGAACACGGUGAUUUGUGGGUUUUCUAGAGGUACUCUUGAUAUGGUUUGGCUGUGUCCACACCCAAAUCUCAUCUUGACUAGUAGCCCCCAUAAUUCCCUCAUGUUGUGGAAGGCACCCAGUGGGAGAUAAUUGAAUCAUAGGGGUAGUUUCCCCCAUACUGUUCUCAUGGUAGUGAAUAAGUAUCAAGAGAUCUGAUGGUUCUAUAAGAGGAAACCCCCUUCACUUGGCUCUUAUUCUCUCUUGUCUGCCACCAUGUAAGAAGUGCCUUUCACCUUCCACCUUCUGCCAUGAUUGUGAGGCACCCUCAGCCAUGUGGAACUGUGAGUUCAUGAAACCUCUUUUUGUUAAUAAAUUACCCAGUCUCAGUUGUGUCUUUAUCAGCAGCGUGAAAACGGACUAAUACAACUUUUCCAGGUUGAGGAAGCUCUUUACUGUUCUUACUUUUUUUGAAAGUUUUAAUCAUGAAAGUGUGCUCAAUUUUUACAAACAUUUCAUUUUUUCUCUUAAGAUGGCAAUUUGAUUUUGUCCUUCAUUCUAUUGAUAUGAUAUGUUACAUUGAUUGAUAUUUAACUGUAAAACCAAAUAUAUACCAAUAUAUAAUAAUAUUUAUUCUCUAAACAAGUGGGCAGGGAUAAAAUCAGCUUUAAAAUAACAGAUUCUUCUUAUUAUGAAAUUUAAAGUCUCAGAAGUAUGGGGUAUGAUUAUUCUGUUAUGCAGGGUGUAAUGUAACAAAUUUCCAAAGAAACUAUGAAUCAUUAGAGAUAGGAGAGAUCAUCUGGCUAAGGCUGAUGUAAUCAGGGAAAUUUUGGUGAAAAAAAUAACAACUAAGAUGGAGUUUAUACAUAGUGUUGCAUAAGUUAGGGAGAGGUAAGACUGGAAAGUAGAUUGGAGUAAAAUCUUAAAAUUUUUCACAUCUAAGCUGAAAACAUUUUGUGUAUUGGACAAUAAGCAGUUGUGAAGGUCUCAGAGUAAAAGCUAGGUAUAAUCAGAGUUGUAAGAAACAAAAGUCAACCUGACUUCUGUGAGAGAUACAGAAAACUAAUGAGAAGAAAGGGCCAGUUAAGAGACCACCAAGACAGUGGACGUCCAGCCAAGAAUAAAUAAGAAGGCAAUCACCAGGGAGAACAUCAGAUCAAUUUGAACGGAAGCUUUCUGUUGACUUUCAUCAGACUAUUGAAACGGAUAUAUGAUGUAGGACUCUGACAGAAGAAAGAUGGCAGCAGUUACUCUGAAC
Molecule: long non-coding RNA, 1497 nt
Filed under: Homo sapiens (human)
Lineage: Eukaryota; Metazoa; Chordata; Mammalia; Primates; Hominidae
Description: HSALNT0173174
Source: RNAcentral